Long non-coding RNA from Nothoprocta perdicaria, 227 nucleotides. RefSeq lists it as uncharacterized. NCBI's taxonomy places the organism in Eukaryota, Metazoa, Chordata, Aves, Tinamiformes, Tinamidae. The record is from RefSeq and is a predicted model, not a curated record. The transcript has 2 exons.
GACUUGGUGCCCAUGUUGCCUCGGCAUCUCGGAAAGAUCUCAGCCCUCACACCCACAGUUGGACUUGUUGAUCCUGAAGGUCUUCUCCAACCAUAACGACUGUACAAUUCUAUGAUCCUUUGGGCUCUGAUGGCCAACAAGAGUCACUUGUGACGUGACACCUCCGUGGACAAGCAGAAAGCAAAGAACCCCAAGCAAGGGAGGGCGCUGGAGCCCACGGGGUCUCU